RNAcentral lists this ribosomal RNA (308 nucleotides) under Staphylococcus aureus. RNAcentral's name for it is "bacterial SSU rRNA". It matches the Rfam family "Bacterial small subunit ribosomal RNA", at positions 492 to 799 of the family's 1533-position model. The record is from RNAcentral. Lineage: Bacteria; Bacillati; Bacillota; Bacilli; Caryophanales; Staphylococcaceae.
CACGGCUAACUACGUGCCAGCAGCCGCGGUAAUACGUAGGUGGCAAGCGUUAUCCGGAAUUAUUGGGCGUAAAGCGCGCGUAGGCGGUUUUUUAAGUCUGCUGUGAAAGCCCACGGCUCAACCGUGGCGGGUCAUUGGAAACUGGAAAACUUGAGUGCAGAAGAGGAAAGUGGAAUUCCAGGUGUAGCGGUGAAAUGCGCAGAGAGAUGGAGGAACACCAGUGGCGAAGGCGACUUUCUGGUCUGUAACUGACGCUGAUGUGCGAAAGCGUGGGGAUCAAACAGGAUUAGAUACCCUGGUAGUCCACG